ACACACAUACACACAUUUACAGAGGUGCACAGUUCAAUGUGAGUGUCGGUCUUUCUCAUGGAUUACAGGAAGGGGGAUUAUUGGGUUUGAUUUGGUACAAAGUUUCAGUCUCUGGCCCAUCAGGUGUUUAAAAAGUUAAAUCCCUAAAUGUUUAUUUAAAUAAGAAAAAAAAGAAUUUGGGGGGCGCUUUGGGUUCUUAAAAUGCAGAACAUUAUGUCUCUUAUGAAGAAUGAGACAUUACAGUCAUUACAUCAGAUUGUCCAUCACACUGCUGGACUCUGUUCAUUUUUAUCUCCACCUUGUUAACUUUUUUUGAGUGUGUUUUGUUGGUCAUUUCUUUUUCUGCUGCUAUUAAAUAUCUAAUUCUCAUUACUCAAGGCAUAUUUUAGUUUCCCAUAAAAAAGGAAUGAGAUAAUGAGGCUCUACUGGAUCUUUGUGCAGUGUUUUAUAUCCUUACCAGACCACGUUUUAUUAUUUUUCCUCAAUGGAGAUAGAAAAUAAUAAUUAACUUUCUACUUUGAGUUUAUUAUUAAAUCAUCAGUUCCAAGUGUCAGCCACUAAAAACAUGAAGAAAGAGUAGGAAAAUCGUUAGACUCUAAAGCCAGUGUUUAUGAGGUUAUAAUGCAAUAAAAGAGAAUUUAAGCUUGCAUACUUCCAGCUGGCAGUUUAGUAACUUUAGAUUUUUUUGUGGAGCUGUACAGUGAUAACCUGAGAUUCUAUAAAACACAAGAUAAUGAUCAUUAUUAUAAGAUUUUUAUAAAGCUAGCAUCUGCUAGCCUAUGGUUGAUGUAUUAUGUGUGUAUAGGGGACUCAGGUUCAGCGGGCCUGACUCAAUACUCUAUAAAGAUAUCUGUUUAGAAUAAAACAAGAUAAACGUAUGACCCUCGACGAGGUCCCAUUGUUACUUGAUGACAGUGAUAUACGUCUCCUAUAAGGUGGAGGCAAGCAUCAUUAUCUGAUGUUACUGAUUCUGAUUCAAUAUACACAGACACGCUGUGCAAAGGAGCAUUUGAGUCUUUCACAGUAUCAAUAAUAAGUUAUCUUAAGGACAGAUUAAUGCUGAAGAUCAGGUUAUGUCUUAGUCACUAAUGUUUGAAUAUUGUGUCACCUGACCACCAGAAAGAGCUCCACCUCUUUAACACUGUUGGGACCCUCAGAACUGAACUACACACAGAAAACAAAGAGAAUCCCAGAAUGCACUACGUUAACCCACUUUCAGUUUGUAGCAGGAGGAAUAGUUUUCCAAACCAAACCAAUUGGUUUUGUUUGGAUAUGACUAAAUCAAUACUUUGGUUUGGUCAUAUCCUAUAGUUUCCAAUAUAAGUUUGGAAACCUAUUGGAAAUAAUAGGUUUCCAACAAUUUAAGACUAUUGUUAGACAACAACAUUCAAUAUACAUAUCUGUGCACAUCUAUAUAAUAAGCAGAAACACAAAGGUACAUUCAUUAAAAUAUACUACUCUCAAAUGUAGACUGUGACUUGUAUUCUCAUAAGAGCCAAUACAACAUUGUUCAGCCUGACUUAACUCUCUACUCCCAAGUCAAAAUAUCAGUAAUUCAUGCAGUGCAGGGCUGCAGUAAAGAAGGGAUUUUAAAAGCUGCUAACAGGGGUCAUUAUGAUUUGUUGUCAUUCCUGCUGGUAAAACGGAACAGAAAUGUACUAUUUAACAGAGGAGAAGUGAGGAGUGUGGUCUCUGUAGUCAUAAAAGCGCUGCAAGGGCCUUCACUGAUUUAUGAAAAGUUUGACAUUUUACUUCUCUGGGAGCCCAGAAAGCACAUUAAUUUGGUGGAGAGCUUGCAAAAACACUGAAACCUAUAAACGGUGUGGAAAUUCUCUGUAGAACACGACUACUAAUUAAAUAUUAUGAUAAUGGAUAAAAACAUUUUUGAUGAAGGGACAACAGAGGGUUUGGAUACAAGUACAUACAGUAUUCUCAUGCUGUAAAAUCCCCCACAAAUAAUGGUUUGAAAAUUUGUAAAAAAAAAAAAAAAAAGUUCAUUCCUACACGCCAA
Xiphophorus couchianus (Monterrey platyfish) is the source of this 2011-nucleotide long non-coding RNA. RefSeq lists it as uncharacterized. The record is from RefSeq and is a predicted model, not a curated record. NCBI's taxonomy places the organism in Eukaryota, Metazoa, Chordata, Actinopteri, Cyprinodontiformes, Poeciliidae. The transcript has 2 exons.